GGGCGUGUAGCUCAGUUGGCUAGAGCGCCUGCCUUACAAGCAGGAUGUCAGGGGUUCAAGUCCCUUCCCGCCCA
Molecule: transfer RNA, 74 nt
Filed under: Phycisphaerae bacterium
Lineage: Bacteria; Pseudomonadati; Planctomycetota; Phycisphaerae
Description: tRNA-Val
Rfam family: tRNA
About the family: Transfer RNA (tRNA) molecules are approximately 80 nucleotides in length. Their secondary structure includes four short double-helical elements and three loops (D, anti-codon, and T loops).
Source: RNAcentral